RNAcentral lists this ribosomal RNA (465 nucleotides) under uncultured bacterium. Its description in RNAcentral is "partial 16S ribosomal RNA". It matches the Rfam family "Bacterial small subunit ribosomal RNA", at positions 28 to 507 of the family's 1533-position model. The record is from RNAcentral.
GACGAACGCUGGCGGCGUGCUUAACACAUGCAAGUCGAACGGAAAGGCCCUGCCUGCAGGGUACUCGAGUGGCGAACGGGUGAGUAACACGUGGGUGAUCUGCCCUGCACUUCGGGAUAAGCCUGGGAAACUGGGUCUAAUACCGGAUAGGAGCCAUUUUUAGUGUGAUGGUUGGAAAGUUUUUUCGGUGUAGGAUGAGCUCGCGGCCUAUCAGCUUGUUGGUGGGGUAAUGGCCUACCAAGGCGGCGACGGGUAGCCGGCCUGAGAGGGUGGACGGCCACAUUGGGACUGAGAUACGGCCCAGACUCCUACGGGAGGCAGCAGUGGGGAAUAUUGCACAAUGGGCGCAAGCCUGAUGCAGCGACGCCGCGGGGGGGAUGACGGCCUUCGGGUUGGAAACUCCUUUCGCUAGGGACGAAGCUUUUUGUGACGGUACCUAGAUAAGAAGCACCGGCUAACUACGUG